This 438-nucleotide ribosomal RNA is filed under the name uncultured bacterium. RNAcentral describes it as "bacterial SSU rRNA". It matches the Rfam family "Bacterial small subunit ribosomal RNA", at positions 958 to 1398 of the family's 1533-position model. The record is from RNAcentral.
AACGCGAAGAACCUUACCUGGGCUUGACAUGUUCCUGACAGCCGUGGAAACACGGCCUCCCUUCGGGGCAGGAUCACAGGUGGUGCAUGGCUGUCGUCAGCUCGUGUCGUGAGAUGUUGGGUUAAGUCCCGCAACGAGCGCAACCCCCGUCGCAUGUUGCCAGCAUUUAGUUGGGGACUCAUGCGAGACUGCCGGUGACAAACCGGAGGAAGGUGGGGAUGACGUCAAGUCAUCAUGCCCCUUAUGUCCAGGGCUACACACGUGCUACAUUGGCGCGUACAGAGGGCUGCGAUACCGCGAGGUGGAGCGAAUCCCUUAAAGCGCGUCUCGGUUCGGAUUGCAGGCUGAAACUCGCCUGCAUGAAGGCGGAGUUGCUAGUAAUCGCGGAUCAGCAUUGCCGCGGUGAAUACGUUCCCGGGCCUUGUACACACCGGAGUA